Molecule: long non-coding RNA, 459 nt
Filed under: Anser brachyrhynchus (Pink-footed goose)
Lineage: Eukaryota; Metazoa; Chordata; Aves; Anseriformes; Anatidae
Description: lncRNA (ENSABRG00000013871.1)
Source: RNAcentral
UUGAAUUCAGGAAUAGGAUCAAGCCCCAGGUAUAUACCACCACAGAGCAUACUGUAGAGACGGUAAUGGAACUUGUGGCUGUGAGGAAAAAAUUCAUCAGGAUUUAACACCUGAAUCUUGAAUUGCUGUAGAUGCUUCACGUGCCCACAGCUGUUGACUCUGCUGCUGAAGGAAGCAGGAGGGAAAAGAAUAACAGAAACACAUUCAUCAGCAGCCAAACAUCCUACAACCCACGUAUCAUGACUUUAACAUGUCAGGAAUCACAAGAUUCCUAGAUCACCUUUUGGAGGGCAGAUGGGACUGUCUUCUGCCUUACUCCUCCAACACCUAGAAACUGCAGUGUAUCGUCAUGCAGAUGUGAAUUUUCCUCUUUGGAAGAUUGCUUAUUGUUUUGGAUGCCCUCAAGAACCAGAGUCAGAAAUUGGAGUUACCACUUUGUAAGGUGCUGCUUUAAUUUGG